RNAcentral lists this ribosomal RNA (511 nucleotides) under uncultured Bacteroidota bacterium. RNAcentral's name for it is "bacterial SSU rRNA". It matches the Rfam family "Bacterial small subunit ribosomal RNA", at positions 9 to 523 of the family's 1533-position model. Lineage: Bacteria; Pseudomonadati; Bacteroidota. The record is from RNAcentral.
GAGUUUGAUCAUGGCCAGGAUGAACGCUAGCGGCAGGCCUAACACAUGCAAGUCGAGGGGUAGAGGCUUUCGGGCCUUGAGACCGGCGCACGGGUGCGUAACGCGUAUGCAAUCUGCCUUAUACUAAGGGAUAGCCCAGAGAAAUUUGGAUUAAUACCUUAUAGUAUAUAGAUGUGGCAUCACAUUUAUAUUAAAGAUUUAUCGGUAUAAGAUGAGCAUGUGUCCCAUUAGCUAGUUGGUAUGGUAACGGCAUACCAAGGCAAUGAUGGGUAGGGGUCCUGAGAGGGAGAUCCCCCACACUGGUACUGAGACACGGACCAGACUCCUACGGGAGGCAGCAGUGAGGAAUAUUGGUCAAUGGGCGCAAGCCUGAACCAGCCAUGCCGCGUGCAGGAUGACGGUCCUAUGGAUUGUAAACUGCUUUUGUACGGGAAGAAACAACUCUUCGUGAAGAGUCUUGACGGUACCGUAAGAAUAAGGAUCGGCGAACUCCGUGCCAGCAGCGCGGUAA